Molecule: ribosomal RNA, 397 nt
Filed under: uncultured bacterium
Lineage: Bacteria
Description: partial 16S ribosomal RNA
Rfam family: Bacterial small subunit ribosomal RNA
Source: RNAcentral
AUACGUAGGUGUCAAGCGUUGUCCGGAAUUAUUGGGCGUAAAGCGCGCGCAGGUGGUUCCUUAAGUCUGAUGUGAAAGCCCCCGGCUCAACCGGGGAGGGUCAUUGGAAACUGGGGAACUUGAGUGCAGAAGAGGAUAGUGGAAUUCCAAGUGUAGCGGUGAAAUGCGUAGAGAUUUGGAGGAACACCAGUGGCGAAGGCGACUGUCUGGUCUGUAACUGACACUGAGGCGCGAAAGCGUGGGGAGCAAACAGGAUUAGAUACCCUGGUAGUCCACGCCGUAAACGAUGAGUGCUAAGUGUUGGGGGGUUUCCGCCCCUCAGUGCUGCAGCUAACGCAUUAAGCACUCCGCCUGGGGAGUACGGUCGCAAGACUGAAACUCAAAGGAAUUGACGGGG